GUACGGAAGGCAGCAGUGGGGAAUAUUGGUCAAUGGACGCAAGUCUGAACCAGCCAUGCCGCGUGAAGGAUGAAGGCCCUAUGGGUUGUAAACUUCUUUUGUACGGGACGAAACUAUGUUACGUGUAAUGUACUGACGGUACCGUAUGAAUAAGCAACGGCUAACUCCGUGCCAGCAGCCGCGGUAAUACGGAGGUUGCAAGCGUUAUCCGGAUUUAUUGGGUUUAAAGGGUGCGUAGGCGGGAUGAUAAGUCAGUGGUGAAAGCCUGUAGCUUAACUAUAGAAUUGCCAUUGAUACUGUCGUUCUUGAGUGUAGUUGAGGUGGGCGGAAUGUGUAAUGUAGCGGUGAAAUGCUUAGAGAUUACACAGAACACCGAUUGCGUAGGCAGCUCACUAAACUAUAACUGACGCUGAGGCACGAAAGCGUGGGGAGCAAACAGGAUUAGAUACCCCCGUAC
RNAcentral lists this ribosomal RNA (457 nucleotides) under uncultured bacterium. RNAcentral describes it as "bacterial SSU rRNA". It matches the Rfam family "Bacterial small subunit ribosomal RNA", at positions 339 to 793 of the family's 1533-position model. The record is from RNAcentral.